This 576-nucleotide ribosomal RNA is filed under the name uncultured bacterium. RNAcentral's name for it is "partial 16S ribosomal RNA". It matches the Rfam family "Bacterial small subunit ribosomal RNA", at positions 355 to 941 of the family's 1533-position model. The record is from RNAcentral.
UAAGGAAUAUUGGUCAAUGGACGCAAGUCUGAACCAGCCACGCCGCGUGGAGGAUGAAGGCCCUCUGGGUUGUAAACUUCUUUUAUAUGGGACGAAACCCUCUCAUUCUUGAGAGACUGACGGUACCAUAGGAAUAAGCACCGGCUAACUCCGUGCCAGCAGCCGCGGUAAUACGGAGGGUGCAAGCGUUAUCCGGAUUCACUGGGUUUAAAGGGUGCGUAGGAGGGCAGGUAAGUCAGUGGUGAAAUCCCCGAGCUUAACUUGGGAACUGCCGUUGAUACUAUCUGUCUUGAAUAUUGUGGAGGUGAGCGGAAUAUGUCAUGUAGCGGUGAAAUGCUUAGAUAUGACAUAGAACACCAAUUGCGAAGGCAGCUCGCUACACAAAUAUUGACUCUGAGGCACGAAAGCGUGGGGAUCGAACAGGAUUAGAUACCCUGGUAGUCCACGCCCUAAACGAUGGAUACUCGACAUACGCGAUACACAGUGUGUGUCUGAGCGAAAGCAUUAAGUAUCCCACUGGAAGUACGACCGCAGUUGAAACUUAAAGGAAUUGACGGGGGUCAUAGCUGUUUCCUG